GACGAACGCUGGCGGCGUGCUUAACACAUGCCAGUCGAACGGAAAGGCCCUGCUUUUGUGGGGUGCUCGAGUGGCGAACGGGUGAGUAACACGUGAGUAACCUGCCCUUGACUUUGGGAUAACUUCAGGAAACUGGGGCUAAUACCGGAUAGGAGCUCCUGCUGCAUGGUGGGGGUUGGAAAGUUUCGGCGGUUGGGGAUGGACUCGCGGCUUAUCAGCUUGUUGGUGGGGUAGUGGCUUACCAAGGCUUUGACGGGUAGCCGGCCUGAGAGGGUGACCGGCCACAAUGGGACUGAGAUACGGCCCAGACUCCUACGGGAGGCAGCAGUGGGGAAUAUUGCACAAUGGGCGGAAGCCUGAUGCAGCAACGCCGCGUGCGGGAUGACGGCCUUCGGGUUGUAAACCGCUUUCGCCUGUGACGAAGCGUGAGUGACGGUAAUGGGUAAAGAAGCACCGGCUAACUACGUG
RNAcentral lists this ribosomal RNA (468 nucleotides) under uncultured bacterium. Its description in RNAcentral is "partial 16S ribosomal RNA". It matches the Rfam family "Bacterial small subunit ribosomal RNA", at positions 28 to 507 of the family's 1533-position model. The record is from RNAcentral.